Molecule: ribosomal RNA, 1452 nt
Filed under: uncultured Ktedonobacteria bacterium
Lineage: Bacteria; Bacillati; Chloroflexota; Ktedonobacteria
Description: bacterial SSU rRNA
Rfam family: Bacterial small subunit ribosomal RNA
Source: RNAcentral
AUUAGAGUUUGAUCCUGGCUCAGGACAAACGCUGGCGGCGUGCCUAACACAUGCAAGUCGAACGCCCUGCGCAAGCAGGGAGUGGCGGACGGGUGAGUAACACGUGGGCUACCUACCUUUCGGUGAGGAAUACCGGCGAGAAAUCGCCGACAAUACCGCAUACGCUUCUUUCACGAGAAGCAAAGUCGCAAGACGCCGAAUGAUGGGCCUGCGUCCGAUUAGCCAGUUGGUGGGGUCACGGCUCACCAAAGCGACGAUCGGUAGCUGGUCUGAGAGGACGAUCAGCCACACUGGGAUUGAGAACGGCCCAGACUCCUACGGGGGGCAGCAGUGAGGAAUCUUCGUCAAUGGGGGCAACCCUGAACGAGCAACGCCGCGUGCAGGAGGACGGUUUUCGGAUCGUAAACUGCUUUUCUCGGGGACGACACAAAGGACGGUACCCGAGGAACAAGCCCCGGCUAACUACGUGCCAGCAGCCGCGGUAAUACGUAGGGGGCGAGCGUUGUCCGGAGUUACUGGGCGUAAAGCGCGCGCAGGCGGUCCAUUAAGUCUGGAGUGACAGUUCCCAGCUUACCUGGGAAAGGUCUUCGGAAACUGGUGGACUUGAGGGACUCAGAGGGAGACGGAAUUCCAGGUGGAGCGGUGAAAUGCGUAGAGAUCUGGAGGAACACCAAAGGCGAAGGCAGUCUCCUGGGAGUUUCCUGACGCUCAGGCGCGAAAGCCAGGGGAGCGAACGGGAUUAGAUACCCCGGUAGUCCUGGCCGUAAACGAUGACCACCAGGCGUGGGAGGGAUCGACCCCUUCCGUGCCGGCGCUUACGCUUUGAGUGGUCCGCCUGGGGAGUACGGUCGCAAGAUUAAAACUCAAAGGAAUUGACGGGGACUCGCACAAGCAGCGGAGCGUGUGGUUUAAUUCGAUGCAACGCGAAGAACCUUACCAAAGCUUGACAUGCACUCGCACCAGCCGUAAUGGGCUCUUCCUUCGGGACGGGUGUGCAGGUGCUGCAUGGCUGUCGUCAGCUCGUGUCGUGAGAUGUUGGGUUCAGUCCCGCAACGAGCGCAACCCCUGUCGCUAGUUGAAUGUUCUAGCGAGACCGCCGUCUCAAAACGGAGGAAGGUGGGGAUGACGUCAAGUCAGCACGGCCCUGACGCUUUGGGCGACACACACGCUACAAUGGCCGGGACAAUGGGUUGCCAACCCGCGAGGGGGAGCCAAUCCCACAAACCCGGUCUCAGUUCGGAUUGUAGGCUGCAACUCGCCUGCAUGAAGUCGGAGUUGCUAGUAACCGCAAGUCAGCACAUUGCGGUGAAUACGUUCCCGGGUCUUGUACACACCGCCCGUCACACCACGAAAGUUGACAACACCUGAAGCCGCCGGGCUAACCCGCAAGGGGGGCAGGCGUCGAGGGUGGGGCCAAUGAUUGGGGUGAAGUCGUAACAAGGUAGCCGUAAU